CUACUGUGAACUCUGCCACUUCAGGUUUGCAGUCGAGCGCAAACCCAGGCCGUUAGUGGAGGUGCAGCAGAUUUGGGGGAAGAUAAGAAAACACCCCUGUCAGGUCUUCAGGCUUUGCCGUCCUCCUCAUUCUUCAUGGAAUGUAUGUUUCUGUGGCGUGCCUCACCACUGCCCGCCUCCUUUCUUGAAGAGAUAGGAACGCUGUGAGAUUGUUUGGGAUAAAGCGGUUUCUUUGCAAUCCAUCAUUACAGAGUUAGAGGGAUAGAUUUACACUGUGAUGGAUAUGUGAGAAGAAGGUUAUGUUGGUGCUUGUAAAACACGAAAGAGAAAUAAUAUGCUUUUGAAGCUUUUAGUUUGGAUACUAAAAAAAAAAGUUUAAUUCUUAGAUGUGCCACUUAUGAAAAUGUAUAAUCUGUUUGUGAAGAUUGAAGUCAGAUUACAAGAAGAAAAUGAAA
RNAcentral lists this long non-coding RNA (455 nucleotides) under Homo sapiens (human). Its description in RNAcentral is "non-protein coding lnc-C5orf63-4:1". Lineage: Eukaryota; Metazoa; Chordata; Mammalia; Primates; Hominidae. The record is from RNAcentral.